GUCCACGCUGUAAACGAUGAACACUAGAUAUUGGAGGAUUUGACCCCUUCAGUGUCGUAGCUAACGCGUUAAGUGUUCCGCCUGGGAAGUACGGUCGCAAGACUAAAACUCAAAGGAAUUGACGGGGCCCGCACAAGCGGUGGAUUAUGUGGUUUAAUUCGAAGCAACGCGCAGAACCUUACCUAGGCUUGAAAUCCCACGAACCUGGCUUAAAACGCUGGGGUGCUCUUCGGAGAAUGUGGUGACAGGCGCUGCAUGGCUGUCGU
RNAcentral lists this ribosomal RNA (266 nucleotides) under uncultured bacterium. RNAcentral's name for it is "partial 16S ribosomal RNA". It matches the Rfam family "Bacterial small subunit ribosomal RNA", at positions 793 to 1055 of the family's 1533-position model. The record is from RNAcentral.